Molecule: long non-coding RNA, 2556 nt
Organism: Hyla sarda
Lineage: Eukaryota; Metazoa; Chordata; Amphibia; Anura; Hylidae
Exons: 2
Source: RefSeq, a predicted model, not a curated record
GCAUGCCCGGACAGCCGUUGGCUGUCCGGGCAUGCUGGGAGUUGUAGAUUUGCAACAGCUGAAGGCACCCUGGUUGGGAAACACUGUUCUAAUGUGUAUGGGAAAGAGAAGAAUCGGUCAAUUUGGGUUCAAAGUGUCCGCCCCACAAACCAUAGUUUUCUAGCAGUGGCUUAGCUCCCCUCUCCCUAUUCAGAACAUAUGAACACUUGACCGAGCGAAUGUUCAUCUGGCAGGCACCUAUAGGCUUUUUUCUUAAUGAUUUUUCUGGUUAUAGAGAGAUCUGUCCAUUAUUAUCGCUGCCUUUGCUGCAUUUGCCUUCAUUUGCAUGACCUUGCGUUUGGUCUGUGUAAGUGUUAGUGAGGAAUUGUUAUCACGGCACAUAUGCCAGUUGUCUGACGUAAAUCAUGCGCACAUUUUUUGACUCCCAUUUCCCGACAGACUUAGGGCAGGGUCACACGGAGCGCAUCCGCAGUGUGUUUCACGUUGCUGAUGCACCGAUGGCAUUCACAAGAGCAAUCUCCUAGCUGCGGCUGCGUGUCCGCUUUUGACGGUAGAUUUCCUGUGGCACAUCUAUGUGUCUAUAGCAGGCAAUCAACUGUUACGUGCCGACACGCAGAGCUGCUCAGCCGCAGCAGGGAGCUCGCUCUUGUGACUGCUGUCGGCGCAUUCGCAACGUGAAAUGAGCUGCGGAUGCGCACCAUGUGACUCUACCCUUACCCAUACAGAUGAGUAUUUUCAUCCCUUUUACAGUUACAAGUUUUAAGCAGCCGCUGGUCUAAUGACCCAAACUGGCAGCAGCAUAGAUGACUGAUUAUUUUAGUUCGGGUCUCUAGAGUCCCGUCCAUAUAGCAAUGAAAAAGCCUGGCUGAAGAAGCAUGAUCCUCUAAGGGUGCGUUCACACAGAUGGAUUACCUGCGGAAUUUCCGCAGCUUAUUUGCUGCUGAAAAUUUGCAGAGGAUUUUGCUACCAUCGACUUCAAUGGGAAAAUCUGCAAAUCUGCCUCUAUAGGGGAUUUUCUGCUGACCCAUCAAUGGUUGCAAAAUCUCGGCUGGCCGCAGCAGAUUUUCAACUGCGGGAUUUAUGCUACGGAAAAUCGGUGGGGACUGCAGCGGAUUUUCCGCAGCGUAAAUCUCGCCGCGGAAAAUCUGCUGCGGACAGCCGAGAAGAGCCCGCCCACUUUCAAAUAUGCAGCGGAAAACCCGCAAAAAAAAUCCGCCCGUGUGAACGCACCCUCGUUGGGAAAAACUGCUCUAUUGGAAUAAAACAGGGAAAAAAUCUAAUCCUGGCUUCGUGGUAGAGCUUGAGUACUGGGUUGCUUUCUGGGUAUGCUGGGAGUUGUAGUUUUAAAACAGCUGGAGGCACCCUGGUUGGGAAACACUGCUCUAAAGCUGCCAUUCUAACCCAGUCCUCAUGACCCACCAAUGUUGCUUUUUUUCCCCGUUACUCUAUUGCAGUGUUUCCCAACCAGGGUGCCUCCAGAUGUUGCAAAACUAUAAAUCCCAGCAUGCGCUUUGGCUGUCCAGGCAUGCUGGGAGUUGUAGUUUUGCAACACCUGGAGGCACCCUGGUUGGGAAACACUGCUCCUCUAGUGGAAUAAAACAGGGAAAAAUUCUAAUCCUGGCUUCACGGUGGAGCUUGAGGACUGGGUUGGUUAAUACAUUUGCCGCAUCUUUAGUUUGACACAGAUCGAAUGUAUAGCCUGUAUGUUUUUAUAUUGGUAAUCAUCCAGCUUUCCCGGAAGCAGAUAUAACUAGGAAAUGACUGACAAGAAUCUAUACGCAUGGGGUCAAUUCACGGACUGCAAAAUAUAUAUAUAUUGUUAAAAUUUAAGCGGGACAUGCUGUGUCACCUCUGCAGGCUUCUGCUGUAUAUCCUGUGGCCAUGAUCAUUCUGGGGGUAUUAUACUAUUACACUGAUGUAUAUAGAGGCCGAUUAGCUGUAGAAGCUUUGGCUCAUUGUAUAUAAGGAAACGCUGUAUAGUCUUACCUCCUGCUUCUCCUUCACCCUUUCUAAUGCAAUACAGGCAGCUUCGUUCAUCCUUUUAGGUCAGUGUUUCCACAACCAGGCUGCCUCCAGCUGUUGCAAAACUACAACUCCCAGCAUGCCCGGACAGCCGAAGGCUGUCCGGGCAUGCUGGGAGUUGUAGUUUUGCAACAGCUGGAGGCACCCUAGUUGGAGAAAACCCUGCCUUAGGUAAAUCCUCUGCCUCCCAAGACUAACUAUAUGCACUUUUAGAUGGGAACUAUUUUAUUUGCUGGUAGACCUUUUAUUGCGUAGGUACUGGAAAUAUUUAAACAAAAAAAAAAGGCUCGAGCAGACGGGUAAUUUAAUAUGUACAGUAUAUUUUAGAGAAAAAAAAAACAGAUACUGCAGAAGAAAUUCUAUAUUUCAUUGUGCCUGUUGGUAAGAAAAAAAAAAGGAGGUAAAAAAAAAAAAGGUGCCCGUUUAUGAAUUGGUGAAAAUGAACUUUAAAGAACAAAUCAUUGACCUGUGAAGUAUUUCUAUUACGGUUAACAAUGUAAACCAAUUUGUAAAAUAAAAAGUGAAAUUGAAAGA